This is a long non-coding RNA of Clupea harengus (Atlantic herring), 1363 nucleotides long. The record is from Ensembl. NCBI's taxonomy places the organism in Eukaryota, Metazoa, Chordata, Actinopteri, Clupeiformes, Clupeidae.
UUUUUUACUCACCAUCCAGAAGCUGCGGCGGUUGACGUCCUCUGGGCCAUUCUCAGGCGGGGGAGUGGACAUGGUGGACACUGCAAGGGGAGACAACAAGAGACAGAGACUGUCAUAGAGGCGAAGCGGAAGAAGCCGGGGAGGAAAAAGGAGGAGUUAAGCUUGCAGUGCCGCCACCGAAGGCGUCCAAGUUUCACAGAUGAAUGUUUGAGAUUCUCAACAGGAGGGCGGCAGUCAACAAGAUCGGUGAAUUUGUAUUCGUUUCAAAAUGGUGACCUGUUUAAAGUAUGACAAAUGUGUGCAUGUUUCUGUAAUGUAAGAUGUUGGCAUUUUAGUGUAUCGUUAGUAGCUCAUUGUGGGCUCAGCUAAAUGUGAUUGUGCUAACAACUGUGUCAAGUUGGACUUUGUAUUUUAUGUGGUGUGGAAGUUGGCUUUUUGCUGUGUAUAUACACAUGUUGCUGUAAGACACAUAAUUCUGUGCAAAAUAAAUUACUUUAAAAUUAUGUCGUUGCUUUGUAAUGUAUGGGGAGAUGGGACAUGUUUUUAAGGGUUUUAAUUUGCCACAAAGUGUAUGAUUUCCCAAGUGGUUGGUUUGCGUCCAAUUCUGUAAGGCAUGCAAAACUUGAGACAAAAAUCUAAAUUCCAAGGCAUCACUUUUGUACUGUAUUCUGUGCCUUGAAGAAUGUGUUUGUAGACUAGAUAUUGCUGUCAUGUUACUCAACAGCUAUGCACUUGAGACAAAGCGUUCAAAGUAUGCAUGGGCAUUUGGGGAAAUGUGUCCUUAUUAGCCUUGUGGUUAGUUUAGAAAGUUCCAUUUUAAGAGGGGCAAAAUUGAUUGGACUAUUGGGUAUAAAUAAAUUCCAUUCUUCCAGAAAUACUACAUGGUUUCAUUGAUUCACAUUGAACCACGUGAGUUGCGCAUGGCUUCCAAAGUUAUAAUGAAUAUAACCACAUGAUUGGAUGGCUCAAGUCACAAAUACUGAGGUCACGGUAGUGUGAAGAUUAAUAGUCAAACAUAACCUUUGCAGGGACAACAGCAGGCUUAAUCUAUGUGACCAAGUGAGUGGGGUUGGUAAAGAAAUGUCCUUAGGUGUGUGUGGUCCCCCACACAAGUUUCUUCCUGGUAUUCAAGUCUGGCAGGUCAACUACAAGGUGAUCAAAUCUGUAAUGUGUAAACUAACUAGGCUAGAUGUGCAUAUGAUUUCAAAGAGCCCUUGGGGACUACUGUUUGAGAUCACUGUGGUCAAUUAAACUAUACUUGUAAUAUAACAUUAACAAACCAGAAAAUCAGUUAUUUACUAGUUGAGUACACAGUAUUGCAACUCCCGAAGUGAAAUGAUGGGUUCCCUGGGGGGUGGGGGAG